UGGGGAAUUUUGGACAAUGGGGGAAACCCUGAUCCAGCCAUCCCGCGUGUGCGAUGAAGACCUUCGGGUUGUAAAGCACUUUUGGCAGGAAAGAAACGUCGCGGGUUAAUACCCCGCGGAACUGACGGUACCUGCAGAAUAAGCACCGGCUAACUACGUGCCAGCAGCCGCGGUAAUACGUAGGGUGCAAGCGUUAAUCGGAAUUACUGGGCGUAAGGCGUGCGCAGGCGGUUCGGAAAGAAAGAUGUGAAAUCCCAGAGCUUAACUUUGGAACUGCAUUUUUAACUACCGGGCUAGAGUGUGUCAGAGGGAGGUGGAAUUCCGCGUGUAGCAGUGAAAUGCGUAGAUAUGCGGAGGAACACCGAUGGCGAAGGCAGCCUCCUGGGAUAACACUGACGCUCAUGCACGAAAGCGUGGGGAGCAAACAGGAUUAGAUACCCUGGUAGUCCACGCCCUAAACGAUGUCAACUAGCUGUUGGGGUCUUCGGACCUUGGUAGCGCAGCUAACGCGUGAAGUUGACCGCCUGGGGAGUACGGUCGCAAGAUUAAAA
RNAcentral lists this ribosomal RNA (551 nucleotides) under uncultured bacterium. RNAcentral describes it as "partial 16S ribosomal RNA". It matches the Rfam family "Bacterial small subunit ribosomal RNA", at positions 355 to 899 of the family's 1533-position model. The record is from RNAcentral.